CCUACGGGUGGCAGCAGUGAGGAAUAUUGGUCAAUGGACGAGAGUCUGAACCAGCCAAGUAGCGUGAAGGAUGACUGCCCUAUGGGUUGUAAACUUCUUUUAUAUGGGAAUAAAAUGUUCCACGUGUGGGCUUUUGUAUGUACCAUAUGAAUAAGGAUCGGCUAACUCCGUGCCAGCAGCCGCGGUAAUACGGAGGAUCCGAGCUUUAUCCGGAUUUAUUGGGUUUAAAGGGAGCGUAGAUGGGUUGUUAAGUCAGUUGUGAAAGUUUGCGGCUCAACCGUAAAAUUGCAAUUGAUACUGGCAGUCUUGAGUACAGUUGAGGUAGGCGGAAUUCGUGGUGUAGCGGUGAAAUGCUGAGAUAUCACGAAGAACCCCGAUUGCGAAGGCAGCUUACUAAACUGUGACUGACAUUGAUGCUCGAAAGUGUGGGUAUCAAACAGGAUUAGAUACCCUGGUAGUC
Molecule: ribosomal RNA, 460 nt
Filed under: uncultured bacterium
Lineage: Bacteria
Description: partial 16S ribosomal RNA
Rfam family: Bacterial small subunit ribosomal RNA
Source: RNAcentral